GGCGAACGGGUGAGUAACACGUGGGCAAUCUGCCCUGCACUCUGGGACAAGCCCUGGAAACGGGGUCUAAUACCGGAUACUGACCCUCGCAGGCAUCUGCGAGGUUCGAAAGCUCCGGCGGUGCAGGAUGAGCCCGCGGCCUAUCAGCUUGUUGGUGAGGUAAUGGCUCACCAAGGCGACGACGGGUAGCCGGCCUGAGAGGGCGACCGGCCACACUGGGACUGAGACACGGCCCAGACUCCUACGGGAGGCAGCAGUGGGGAAUAUUGCACAAUGGGCGAAAGCCUGAUGCAGCGACGCCGCGUGAGGGAUGACGGCCUUCGGGUUGUAAACCUCUUUCAGCAGGGAAGAAGCGAAAGUGACGGUACCUGCAGAAGAAGCGCCGGCUAACUACGUGCCAGCAGCCGCGGUAAUACGUAGGGCGCAAGCGUUGUCCGGAAUUAUUGGGCGUAAAGAGCUCGUAGGCGGCUUGUCGCGUCGGUUGUGAAAGCCCGGGGCUU
This 500-nucleotide ribosomal RNA is filed under the name Streptomyces sp. DF-1. RNAcentral describes it as "bacterial SSU rRNA". It matches the Rfam family "Bacterial small subunit ribosomal RNA", at positions 97 to 610 of the family's 1533-position model. The record is from RNAcentral. Lineage: Bacteria; Bacillati; Actinomycetota; Actinomycetes; Kitasatosporales; Streptomycetaceae.